AUGCGAAUUGCAGAACACGCGAGUCAUCAGAUCUUUGAACGCAAUUGGUGGGGGUGUAAAAACCUUCAUGUUCGUU
This 76-nucleotide ribosomal RNA is filed under the name Colpidium colpoda. RNAcentral describes it as "partial 5.8S ribosomal RNA". The record is from RNAcentral. Lineage: Eukaryota; Ciliophora; Oligohymenophorea; Hymenostomatida; Turaniellidae.